RNAcentral lists this ribosomal RNA (1395 nucleotides) under uncultured euryarchaeote. RNAcentral's name for it is "bacterial SSU rRNA". It matches the Rfam family "Archaeal small subunit ribosomal RNA". Lineage: Archaea; Methanobacteriati; Methanobacteriota. The record is from RNAcentral.
UCACUGCUAUCGGGGUUCGAUUAAGCCAUGCGAGUCGAGAGGGUUCGGCCCUCGGCGUACUGCUCAGUAACACGUGGAUAACCUGCCCUAGGGAAGGGGAUAACCCCGGGAAACUGGGGAUAAUACCCUAUAGAUUACAGAUGCUGGAAUGCCCUGUAAUCCAAAGUUCCGACGCCCUAGGAUGGAUCUGCGGCCGAUUAGGUUGUUGUUGGGGUAAUGGCCCAACAAGCCCGUAAUCGGUACGGGUUGUGGGAGCAAGAGCCCGGAGUUGGAUUCUGAGACACGAAUCCAGGCCCUACGGGGCGCAGCAGGCGCGAAAACUUUACAAUGCGGGCAACCGUGAUAAGGGAACCUCGAGUGCCUGUAAAUGCAGGCUGUUCAGGUGCCUAAAACACACCUGAAGAAAGGGCCGGGCAAGACCGGUGCCAGCCGCCGCGGUAAUACCGGCGGCUCGAGUGGUGGCCGCUUUUAUUGGGCUUAAAGCGUUCGUAGCUGGGUUGUUAAGUCUCUUGGGAAAUCUGGCGGCUUAACCGUCAGGCGUCUAAGGGAUACUGGCAAUCUUGGAACCGGGAGAGGUGAGGGGUACUUCGGGGGUAGGAGUGAAAUCCUGUAAUCCUCGAGGGACCACCUGUGGCGAAGGCGCCUCACCAGAACGGCUUCGACAGUGAGGGACGAAAGCUGGGGGAGCAAACCGGAUUAGAUACCCGGGUAGUCCCAGCCGUAAACUAUGCGCGUUAGGUGUAUCGGUGACCACGAGUUACCGAGGUGCCGAAGGGAAACCGUGAAACGUGCCGCCUGGGAAGUACGGUCGCAAGGCUGAAACUUAAAGGAAUUGGCGGGGGAGCACCACAACAGGUGGAGCCUGCGGUUUAAUUGGACUCAACGCCGGGAAGCUCACCGGAUAAGACAGCAGAAUGAUUGCCGGGCUGAAGACUCUGCAUGACUAGCUGAGAGGAGGUGCAUGGCCGUCGUCAGUUCGUACUGUGAAGCAUCCUGUUAAGUCAGGCAACGAGCAAGACCCACGCCAACAGUUGCCAGCAUGGUCUCCGGACUGAUGGGGACACUGUUGGGACCGCCUCUGCUAAAGAGGAGGAAGGAAUGGGCAACGGUAGGUCAGCAUGCCCCGAAUUAUCCGGGCUACACGCGGGCUACAAUGGGCAGGACAAUGGGCAUCGACACCGAAAGGUGAAGGCAAUCUCCUAGACCUGUCCUUAGUUCGGAUUGUGGGCUGCAACUCGCCCACAUGAAGCUGGAAUCUGUAGUAAUCGCGUUUCAAAAUAACGCGGUGAAUUUGUCCCUGCUCCUUGCACACACCGCCCGUCAAACCACCCGAGUGGGGUUUGGAUGCGGUUGCGGUUGUUGCCGCAGUCGAAUCUAGGUUCCGCAAGGGGGGUU